AGAGAGAGAGAGAGAGAGAGAGAGAGAGAGAGAGAGAAAAAAAAAAAAACCCCUCAGUAUAAACUCAUGUGUUUCAAAUUCAUCUGGUUUGGUAUAUGUAUAUUCUGACUUUGAUCACAUUUUUCUUGUUCACAGGUUUCACAUCCACCGCUGCUGAACCAAAAUCAGCAGUUGGUCCAGUUUUGGACUGUGAUCUUGAUAACGACAUGUACAUCUGCACCGGUGCUCAAUACCUCAUGUACUGCAAUACAACAAUGCAUCAUUUCUACUACCAGAGAUACCAAAACCAAUACCAGUGCAUGAGCAAUGACUGUAUGUGUGUUGGUAAUAAGGACACCUGUGCAUGCUACUAUAACACAUCAUCCUGCUUCUGUGAGACUUUAAGCAAUAACACCACUGUCCUUACAGUAGUUAGGCCAGUUUUGGACUGUGAGCUUAAUAAUGACACGUACAUCUGCAUUGGUGCUCAUUACCACAUGUACUGCAACACAUCAGUGCAUUAUUUUAGCUACUACAAAUAUCAGUACCAAAACCAAUAUCAGUACAGAUGCUGGAGUAAUAACUGUGACUGCCGUUUUAAUAAGGACUCCUGUUGGUGCUACAGUUACACUUCAUCCUCCUGCUUCUGUACAAAUUACGGCAAUAGCAUCACUCUCUCUUCAUCACGUAAUCCAGUCACAGGCCUUGAUUGUCUGAUUUAUAACGACACGUACAUCUGCACUGGUGCUCAGCACCGCAUGUACUGCCAUACAAAAAUGCAUUAUUUCUACUACUGGAGAUAUCAGAACCAAAACCAAUACCAGUACCAGUGUAUGAACAAUAACUGCAACUGUGUUGGUGAUAAGGACACCUGUACAUGCUCUACUAGAACUUUGUCUUCCUGCUUUUGUGAGACUUAUGGCAAUAGCAUUGCUCUCCCUGCAGCAGUUAGUCCAGUCUAUGACUGUGUGCUUCAUAACGACACAUACAUCUGCACUGGUGCUCAGUAUCGCAUGUACUGCAAUACAAGAAUGCAUGAUUUCUCCUACCAGAGAUUUCAGUACCAGAACCAGUACCAGUGUGUGAAUAAUAACUGUAACUGCAUUGGUAAUAAAGACACCUGUACAUGCUCUACUAGCAUUUUGUCCUCCUGCUUCUGUGAGAUUUACGGCAAUAUCAUUGCUCUCUUUACAGUAGCUACUCCAGCUUAUGGCUGUGUGCUUUAUAAUGAUACAUACAUCUGCACUGGUGCUCAGUACCGCAUGUACUGCAACACAAGAAUGCACAGUUUCAGCUACCAGAGAUAUACAAACCAAAACCAGGACCAAUACCAAUGCUGGAAUAAUAACUGUAACUGUGUUGGUAAUAAGGACACCUGUACAUGCUACAGUAGCACUUUGUCCUCCUGCUUCUGUGAGACUUACAGCAAUAGCAUUGCUUUCCCAGCAGUUACUCCUGCUUAUGACUGUGGGCUUUAUAAUGACACAUACAUCUGCACUGGUGCUCAGUACCGCAUGUACUGCAACACAAGAAUGCAAGAAUUUUACUAUCGGAAAUACCUCUACCAAACUCAAUAUGAAUUACAAUGCAGGAAUAAUAACUGUAACUGCCGUGGAAACAUGGACACUUGUACAUGCUCUAGUAACUGUGCAAGCAAUAUCUGCGACUGCCGUGGAAAUAAAAACACCUGUACGUGCUACUAUAGUACACCAUCCUCCUGUUUCUGUACAAAUUAUGGCUAUACCAUCCCUGCAGCAGGUAGUCCCGUCCAUGCCUGUGGGCUUUAUAAUGACACGUACAUCUGCACUGGUGCUCAGUACCGCAUGUACUGCAACACAAGAAUGCACAGUUUCAGCUACCAGAGAUAUAGAAACCAAAACCAGGACCAAUACCAAUGCUGGAAUAAUAACUGUAACUGUGUUGGUAAUAAGGACACCUGUACAUGCUACAGUAGCACUUUGUCUUCCUGCUUCUGUGAGACUUUCAGCAAUAGCAUUGCUUUUGCAGCAGUUACUCCUGCCUAUGGCUGUGUGCUUUAUAACGACACAUACAUCUGCACUGGUGCUCAGUACCGCAUGUACUGCAACACAAGAAUGCAAGAAUUCUACUAUCAGAAAUACCUCUACCAAACUCAAUAUGAAUUACAAUGCAGGAAUAAUAACUGUAACUGCCGUGGAAACAUGGACACUUGUACAUGCUCUAGUAGCACUUUGUCCUCCUGCUUUUGUGAGACUUACGGCAAUAUCAUUGCUCUCUUUACAGUAGCUACUCCAGCUUAUGGCUGUAUGCUUUAUAAUGAUACAUACAUCUGCACUGGUGCUCAGUACCGCAUGUACUGCAACACAAGAAUGCAUGAUUUCUACUACCGGAGAUAUCAGAACCAAAACCAAUAUGAAUUACAGUGCUGGAAUAAUAACUGUAACUGCCGUGGAAACAUGGACACUUGUACAUGCUCUAGUAGCACUUUGUCUUCCUGCUUUUGUGAGAUUUACGGCAAUAUCAUUGCUCUCUUUACAGUAGCUACUCCAGCUUAUGGCUGUAUGCUUUAUAAUGAUACAUACAUCUGCACUGGUGCUCAGUACCGCAUGUACUGCAACACAAGAAUGCAUGAUUUCUACUACCGGAGAUAUCAGAACCAAAACCAAUAUGAAUUACAGUGCUGGAAUAAUAACUGUAACUGUGUUGGUAAUAAGGACACUUGUACAUGCUAUAGUAGCACUUUGUCUUCCUGCUUUUGUGAGUUUUACGGCAAUAUCAUUGCUCUCUUUACAGUAGCUACUCCAGCUUAUGGCUGUAUGCUUUAUAAUGAUACAUACAUCUGCACUGGUGCUCAGUACCGCAUGUACUGCAACACAACAGUGCAUUAUUUUAGCUACUGGAGAUCUCAGAACCAAAACCAAAACCCGUACCAAUGCUGGAAUAAUUGUGACUGCCGUGGAAAUAAGGAUACCUGUACAUGCUACAGUAGCGCUUUGUCCUCCUGCUUCUGUACAAAUUAUAACAAUACCAUCACCAUCCCUGCAGCAGUUAGUCCAGUCACAGACCCUGACUGUGUGCUUCAUAAUGACAUGUACAUCUGCACUGGUGCUCAGUAUCGCAUGUACUGUAACACAAGAAUGCAUGAUUUCUCCUUGCGGAGAUUUCAGUACCAAAACCAGUACCAGUGUGUAAAUAAUAACUGUAACUGCAUUAGUAAUAAAGACACCUGUACAUGCUACAGAAGCACUUUGUCCUCCUGCUUCUGUGAGACCUACAGCAAUAGCAUUGCUCUCACUACAGCAGUUAGUCCAGUCUAUGACUGUGUGCUUUAUAAUGACACGUCAUACAUCUGCACAGGUGCUCAGUACCGCAUGUACUGCAACACAACUGUACAUGAUUUCUAUUACAAUAUAAAUGAGCACCGAUGUGCAAGCAAUAUCUGUGACUGCCGUGGAAAUAAAAACACCUGUACGUGCUACUAUAGUACAUCAUCCUCCUGCUUCUGUACAAAUUAUGGCUAUACCAUCCCUGCAGCAGGUAGUCCCGUCCAUGCCUGUGGGCUUUAUAACGAAACAUACAUCUGUACUGGUGCUCAGUACCGCAUGUACUGCAACACAAGAAUGCACAGUUUCAGCUACCAGAGAUAUAGAAACCAAAACCAGGACCAAUACCAAUGCUGGAAUAAUAACUGUAACUGUGUUGGUAAUAAGGACACCUGUACAUGCUACAGUAGCACUUUGUCUUCCUGCUUCUGUGAGACUUACGGCAAUAGGAUUGCCCUCACUACAGCAGUUAGUCCAGUCUAUGACUGUGUGCUUUAUAAUGAGACGUCAUACAUCUGCACUGGUGCUCAGUAUCUCAUGUACUGCAACACAUCUGUACAUGAUUUCUAUUACAAUAGAAAUGAGCACCGCUGUAUGAACAAUAAUUGUGACUGCCGUGGAAAUAAAAACACCUGUACGUGCAACUAUAUUACAUCAUCCUCCUGCUUCUGUACAAAUUAUGGCUAUACCAUCCCUGCAGUAGGUAGUCCCGUCCAUGCCUGUGGGCUUUAUAAUGACACGUACAUCUGCACUGGUGCUCAGUACUGCAUGUACUGCAACACAAGAAUGCACAGUUUCAGCUACCAGAGAUACAGAAACCAAAACCAGGACCAAUACCAAUGCUGGAGUAAUAACUGUGACUGUGUUGGUAAUAAGGACACCUGUACAUGCUCUAGUAGCACUUUGUCCUCCUGCUUCUGCGAGUAUAACAUCUGCAUCCCAACCACAAUCAAUCCAACUACUGCAGUUCCGAAUAUCACACUGCCGGAUCAAUGCGAGAGUCAGGCCUCAGAAGGGUGUCUUCAAAAUGUUCUUGAUCAAAUUGAGAACAUUACAGCUCAAGAGCUCCCUGUGACUACUGUGACAAGCCUUUUGACUAUGACCUUCAACGCUUCAGAGAAGAUCUCCGAGUCAUCAUCAUCAUCUAACCCAGCUGAACUAGCCUCUUUUGGAAACCGUGUGUUAAAAACCAGUGAGAAACUAAUUUCUACAUUAGUGAAGCCGACAGACACAAGUGCCAAUGUCAGUUUUACUCUUGCUUCUGUAGGUAAGUGGAGACACAAUCAUUAUUGAUGAUAAAACUGAGAUUAUAUAUGAUGCAAUGGACUUCAUUCAGUCUAGAGAGCAGCAAUGAGUCAGACAGCAGCCAUGCUGAAAGCAGCAUUACCAUAUGACUGUGCAGGCUAGAGUUAUGAACUUUUUAUUAUAAGCAAGUGAAUAGUAUAUUUUGUUGAUGUCAAAGGUCAGUAUGUUGUACAAAUUCAUUGACUUUGAGAUGUAAGAGUUAAUAUUAAAUACAUUUAUACAUAUAGCAGAUUAAAGAAAACACUGUUUUAAAGUUGACCUGAAGGAUUCAAACUACAUCAGAGAUGAAAACCCAACAAUAGUGAAUAGUUGUUUUGUCUUUUGUGCAAAAUCAAUGAUUGAACUUGACUUUUUACAUACAUCCCCAGUCUAGAGUUGGGAAGGAGUAAUAAAGAAAGUGGUGGAGGAAUGGAGGGAGCUUUC
Cyprinus carpio (common carp) is the source of this 5009-nucleotide long non-coding RNA. Lineage: Eukaryota; Metazoa; Chordata; Actinopteri; Cypriniformes; Cyprinidae. The record is from Ensembl.